RNAcentral lists this ribosomal RNA (483 nucleotides) under uncultured bacterium. Its description in RNAcentral is "partial 16S ribosomal RNA". It matches the Rfam family "Bacterial small subunit ribosomal RNA", at positions 28 to 523 of the family's 1533-position model. The record is from RNAcentral.
GAUGAACGCUGGCGGCGUGCUUAACACAUGCAAGUCGAACGGUGAAGCCAAGCUUGCUUGGUGGAUCAGUGGCGAACGGGUGAGUAACACGUGAGCAACCUGCCCUGGACUCUGGGAUAAGCGCUGGAAACGGCGUCUAAUACUGGAUAUGAAACGUGAUCGCAUGGUCAACGUUUGGAAAGAUUUUUCGGUCUGGGAUGGGCUCGCGGCCUAUCAGCUUGUUGGUGAGGUAAUGGCUCACCAAGGCGUCGACGGGUAGCCGGCCUGAGAGGGUGACCGGCCACACUGGGACUGAGACACGGCCCAGACUCCUACGGGAGGCAGCAGUGGGGAAUAUUGCACAAUGGGCGGAAGCCUGAUGCAGCAACGCCGCGUGAGGGAUGACGGCCUUCGGGUUGUAAACCUCUUUUAGCAGGGAAGAAGCGAAAGUGACGGUACCUGCAGAAAAAGCGCCGGCUAACUACGUGCCAGCAGCCGCCGUAA